GUCCGCGUUGUAAUUUUGUGAGGCAUCUCCGGGUAGGGCGCCGGCCUAAGUUCCUUGGAACAGGACGUCACAGAGGGUGAGAAUCCCGUGCUUGGCUGGCUGUCCCCGUCCAUGUGAGGUGUCUUCGACGAGUCGAGUUGUUUGGGAAUGCAGCUCAAAAUGGGUGGUAAAUUUCAUCUAAAGCUAAAUAUUGGUGGGAGACCGAUAGCGCACAAGUAGAGUGAUCGAAAGAUGAAAAGCACUUUGAAAAUAGAGUUAAAAAGUACGUGAAAUUGUUGAAAGGGAAGCGCUUGAGACCAGACUUCGGUAAGGGGUGAUCAGCCGUCCUUCUGGGCGGUGCACUUGCCCCCCUCCGGGCCAGCAUCGGUUGAGGCGGCGGGAUAAAGGUCCCGGGAAUGUGGCUCCUUCACGGGAGUGUUAUAGCCCGGGUGAAUGCCGCCAGCUUCGACCGAGGACCGCACCCGCAAGGGUUAGGAUGCUUGGCAUAAUGGUCUUCAGCGACCCGUCUUGAAACACGGACCAAGGAGUCUAACAUCUAUGCGAGUGUUUGGGUGUCAAACCCUUGCGCGAAAUGAAAGUGAACGGANGUGGGAACCCGCAAGGGCGCACCAUCGACCGGUCCCGAAGUCUUCUGAAGGAUCUGAGUAGGAGCAUAGCUGUUGGGACCCGAAGAUGG
RNAcentral lists this ribosomal RNA (676 nucleotides) under Morchella snyderi. Its description in RNAcentral is "partial large subunit ribosomal RNA". It matches the Rfam family "Eukaryotic large subunit ribosomal RNA", at positions 136 to 826 of the family's 3401-position model. The record is from RNAcentral. Lineage: Eukaryota; Fungi; Ascomycota; Pezizomycetes; Pezizales; Morchellaceae.